Molecule: small nuclear RNA, 171 nt
Filed under: Chlamydomonas reinhardtii
Lineage: Eukaryota; Viridiplantae; Chlorophyta; Chlorophyceae; Chlamydomonadales; Chlamydomonadaceae
Description: snRNA U2
Rfam family: U2 spliceosomal RNA
About the family: U2 is a small nuclear RNA (snRNA) component of the spliceosome (involved in pre-mRNA splicing). Complementary binding between U2 snRNA (in an area lying towards the 5' end but 3' to hairpin I) and the branchpoint sequence (BPS) of the intron results the bulging out of an unpaired adenosine, on the BPS, which initiates a nucleophilic attack at the intronic 5' splice site, thus starting the first of two transesterification reactions that mediate splicing.
Source: Rfam by way of RNAcentral
AUACCUUUCUCGGCCUUUUGGCUCAGAUCAUGUGUAGUAUCUGUUCUUAUAAGCUUAAUCGCUUAUAUGGUUCUCAUUGAGAACCUGCGAUUAACUUUAAUAUUUUAGGGGGUCAAGGCACACGGGGAGGGCACCAUGCCGAGGGGUCUGAAUAUGUUCCCCUCACUCAUG